RNAcentral lists this ribosomal RNA (1684 nucleotides) under Unicapsula seriolae. Its description in RNAcentral is "SSU rRNA". It matches the Rfam family "Eukaryotic small subunit ribosomal RNA". The record is from RNAcentral. Lineage: Eukaryota; Metazoa; Cnidaria; Myxozoa; Multivalvulida; Trilosporidae.
CGUCUCAAAGAUUAAGCCAUGCAAGUCUAAGUUCACAUCAAUUAAAGAUGAAACUGCGAAGUGCUCAGUAAAUCAGUUAUUGUCCGUUCGAUCAUAUCAGCCAUGGAUAACUGUGGUAAAUCUAGAGCUAAUACAUAGCAAAUCCCGUCUUUGACGGGAGCAUUUAUUAGACUAAACCAACGGGUCUUCGGAUCUGCAGGUGAACCUAAAUAACUGUGCAUAUCGGACGUAGAGCCGAUAGUUCGAUCGAAUUUCUGCCCUAUCAACUAGUUGGUGAGGUCGUGGCUCACAAAGGUUGCGACGGGUAACGGGGAAUCAGGGUUCGAUUCCGGAGAGGGAGCCUGAGAAACGGCUACCACAUCUAAGGAAGGCAGCAGGCGCGCAAAUUACCCAAUCCAAAAUUUGGGAGGUAGUGACGAGAAAUACCGGAGUUGAUCAUAAUGGUUAACUAUCGGAAUGAACGUAAUUUAGUACCUUCGAUGAGUAGCUACUGGAGGGCAAGUCUGGUGCCAGCAGCCGCGGUAAUUCCAGCUCCAGUAGUGUAUAUCAAUGUUGUUGCGGUUAAAACGCUCGUAGUUGGAUUACAAAAGCUCGAUGGAACUUGAGCCCAAGUGGUUUGAGUUUUGUGGGGUUUUUUUAUCGCGAGAGCCGUGUGUGGGAUUAAUUUUUUGUACACGGUCACUUGCGGAGUGUGCCUUGAAUAAAGCACAGUGCUCAAAGCAGGCGUACGCUCGAAUGUUAUAGCAUGGAACGAAUAUAUUGACCAAGUCGAUUGUUGGUUGUUGACGGGGUCUCGAUUAAAAGGAACAUUUGAGGGCGUUGGUACUUGGUGGCGAGAGGUGAAAUUCUUAGACCCACCAAAGACUCACAAAUGCGAAAGCAUUCGCCAAGAGUGUUUUCAUUAAUCAAGAACGAAAGUCAGAGGUUCGAAGACGAUCAGAUACCGUCGUAGUUCUGACAGUAAACGAUGCCAACCUGGGGUUAGUCCAGUGCUAUCUAGAUUGGUCCCUCGGCAAAAGCUAGUUUUUCGGCUCCGGGGAGAGUAUUCACGCAAGUGAAAAAUUUAAAGAAAUUGACGGAAUGGCACCACCAGGAGUGGAGCCUGCGGCUUAAUUUGACUCAACACGGGGAAACUCACCAGGUCCAGACAUUGACAGGAUUGACAGACUAAGAGAUCUUUCAUGAUACGAUGAUUGGUGGUGCAUGGCCGUUCUUAGUUGGUGGAGUGAUCUGUCAGGUUUAUUCCGGUAACGAACGAGACCACGAUCUCUAAUUGAAACGGUCAUUUUGUUUUGGCCAAUCUUAGAGAGACAACCGGGAUCAACCCGGGGGAAGCGUGGCAAUAACAGGUCUGUGAUGCCCUUCGAUGUUCUGGGCUGCACGCGCGCUACAAUGGCAGUGACAACGAGUGCCUGCUCUGAGAGGAGUGGGAAAUCUUGAAAAUCGCUGUCGUGAUUGGGAUUGAGCCUUGUAAUAAUUGCUCAUGAAAGAGGAAUUCCUCGUAAGCGCGAGUCAUCAGCUCGUGUUGAAUACGUCUCUGCCCUUUGUACACACCGCCCGUCGCUACUACCGACUGGAUGGUAUUUCGAAUAAUUAGGACCUGCCUGGCUUCUUAGGUCGGGUGGGGAGAAAUUAUAAGGAGUUUCAUCUGAAGGAAGUAAAAGUCGUAACAAGGUUUCCGUAG